AAGAGAAACCGUAGCGCGGUGGUCCCACCUGACCCCAUGCCGAACUCAGAAGUGAAACGCCGUAGCGCCGAUGGUAGUGUGGGGUCUCCCCAUGCGAGAGUAGGGAACUGCCAGGC
This 116-nucleotide ribosomal RNA is filed under the name Escherichia coli. The record is from RNAcentral. Lineage: Bacteria; Pseudomonadati; Pseudomonadota; Gammaproteobacteria; Enterobacterales; Enterobacteriaceae.